RNAcentral lists this non-coding RNA (24 nucleotides) under Mus musculus (house mouse). Lineage: Eukaryota; Metazoa; Chordata; Mammalia; Rodentia; Muridae. The record is from RNAcentral.
AACAAGCCUUGUGGGUAGCUUGUG